CCUACGGGGUGCUGCAGUGAGGAAUAUUGGUCAAUGGCCGUAAGGCUGAACCAGCCAAGUCGCGUGAAGGAAGAAGGAUCUAUGGUUUGUAAACUUCUUUUAUAGGGGAAUAAAGGUAUCCACGUGUGGAUAUUUGCAUGUACCCUAUGAAUAAGCAUCGGCUAACUCCGUGCCAGCAGCCGCGGUAAUACGGAGGAUGCGAGCGUUAUCCGGAUUUAUUGGGUUUAAAGGGUGCGUAGGUUGUUUUUUAAGUCAGCGGUGAAAGUUUGUGGCUCAACCAUAAAAUUGCCGUUGAAACUGGAAGACUUGAGUACAGUUGAGGUAGGCGGAAUUCGUGGUGUAGCGGUGAAAUGCUUAGAUAUCACGAAGAACCCCGAUUGCGAAGGCAGCUUACUAAACUGUGACUGACAUUGAUGCUCGAAAGUGUGGGUAUCAAACAGGAUUAGAUACCCUUGUAGUC
RNAcentral lists this ribosomal RNA (460 nucleotides) under uncultured bacterium. RNAcentral's name for it is "partial 16S ribosomal RNA". It matches the Rfam family "Bacterial small subunit ribosomal RNA", at positions 338 to 795 of the family's 1533-position model. The record is from RNAcentral.